Long non-coding RNA from Melanotaenia boesemani (Boeseman's rainbowfish), 122 nucleotides. RefSeq lists it as uncharacterized. Lineage: Eukaryota; Metazoa; Chordata; Actinopteri; Atheriniformes; Melanotaeniidae. The record is from RefSeq and is a predicted model, not a curated record. The transcript has 3 exons.
UGAGGAACCGACAAAUGAAGAGCUGGUCCAGGCUGUAGUUGACAUCGAGGGCUAAAUAUAGGAAACAAAACGGAGACGCUGCACCUCUGGCGUACAGGCUCCUCCUCUCUCGCGCCACACGG